CAGCCUCCUUGAAAAAGGUUGCUGCUCCCUGCACCAAGCAGGGCAGCAUGGGCAGAAAGGCACCAAAUGCAGAUCAGUGCAAGAGAGUUGCAUACAUUAGCCAAGAGCUCAGCACAGAGUAAGGACUAGGGGAACAAGCUGGUCUGCACAGAGCUCUAUGAAGUCAUCUGCCUCGUAGCUGCUUUGUUACGGGAAUGAGGAAACAAGAGGUAAGAAGUGAUAGGCUGGCAGAUAGAGAGCUGCUUUGGAGGAGCAGUGUCUCCAGGCUGGAGGGGAGCCUGCAUUGUCCCCGGGAGCCUCGCUUUACCAAGGGACUCUGAAGCUCCGUAUUCUGCUCAGGGCUAAGUAGUCCCUGCUUGCACAUUAUUAGGAUCCUCAGCAUUUCCUCCAGUAAAUCUUGACAGCAUGCUGACAACUCAAUUUGAAAGCCAAGUUAUCAGCCUGGAAUCUCCUUUGGGUCUUGAUCUCCAAGGUCACCAUGCCCAUCUCAAGCAGUUGUGUGGCUGCUGGAGGCCCUGGGAACUGCAGGAGCAGGUUGAUGCGCUCACUGGUUCUGUGCAAUGAAAGCACUAACAGAUAAAUGAAAGGAAGGGAAGAGAAGGGCCAGGAAAUACUCUGCUGAUAUCACCCCAGGCUGGUGGAAAUAAUCUCUGAGUGACCACUCAGGUUCCUCUUAUUUUUGUGGUAUCUGUGGCAAAGGAAAAUGUUGCUGGCAACUCUGUCAAGUAAGGCUUUCUUUAAAAUCAAUGAAACUACUUUCUCCUAAAGGGGAUUUCUUGGCUUCUGCCACACAGCUGGCAUCAAGAGAGAAAGGAGCCAUCAAGUUUAGAUGUCAAUAGUGUCAGUUUAAUGCUAGAGGGAAUGACUUGCCUGCCUAUCAGUCCUGAAUGGGUUUUCCUUUUUCUCAUGCUCUGGCUGUAACAGAAGUGAGAGAGGCCAUUGCUUCUGCAUCUCUUUACUUUGCAAAAUCUCUUAACAAUGGCUGACCGGAACGCCUUGCUGUUCUGAUAAUACCUUCUUACCUAGAAUCAUCUUUCUCAGGCCUGCAAUGAGAUUUGGGUGAUUUCUUAUUAGCUAAGUGAGGUAAGUCUGGGUACAGCCUGUUUCCCCUUGCAGGAACACUAGGCUACUUGUACAGUCUGUGCUGUGAUAGUCUCAAGCAAGUGCUAUCAUAAUCCUGGAGCUCCAUUAAACUGACCAUAACAAUGUGUCUGCAAAGGAGCUGGGAUUCCCUUUAUAGCCAGUGCCAUACACAGAGAUACUAGCCAGAUCUUUGUACACAUUAUUUAUUAUAGAAAUCAGUGACAACCCCUUUAUACUCCUGCUUGGGAAUUUGUGUCAUUUACAGCACUGUCUCUUUCCAUUAUCCAAGUGGGGUAAAC
This 1382-nucleotide long non-coding RNA is filed under the name Phasianus colchicus (ring-necked pheasant). RNAcentral's name for it is "lncRNA (ENSPCLG00000006473.1)". Lineage: Eukaryota; Metazoa; Chordata; Aves; Galliformes; Phasianidae. The record is from RNAcentral.